This 448-nucleotide ribosomal RNA is filed under the name uncultured bacterium. Its description in RNAcentral is "partial 16S ribosomal RNA". It matches the Rfam family "Bacterial small subunit ribosomal RNA", at positions 29 to 522 of the family's 1533-position model. The record is from RNAcentral.
AACGAACGCUGGCGGCAUGCCUAACACAUGCAAGUCGAACGAACCCUUCGGGGUUAGUGGCGCACGGGUGCGUAACGCGUGGGGAUCUGCCCUUUGCUUCGGAAUAACAGUUAGAAAUGACUGCUAAUACCGGAUGAUGUCGCAAGACCAAAGAUUUAUCGGCAAAGGAUGAACCCGCGUAGGAUUAGCUAGUUGGUGAGGUAAAGGCUCACCAAGGCGACGAUCCUUAGCUGGUCUGAGAGGAUGAUCAGCCACACUGGGACUGAGACACGGCCCAGACUCCUACGGGAGGCAGCAGUGGGGAAUAUUGGACAAUGGGCGAAAGCCUGAUCCAGCAAUGCCGCGUGAGUGAUGAAGGCCCUAGGGUUGUAAAGCUCUUUUACCAGGGAUGAUAAUGACAGUACCUGGAGAAUAAGCUCCGGCUAACUUCGUGCCAGCAGCCGCCGAA